GGCAGUAUUGCUGAUCAAUGAUGAUCGGAUUUUCGACGCUGCUCAUGAUGAUAUCGUCAAAUGUGUAGUUCUUGCAGAUCAGAGGGAAAGAUUCGGACCAAGUUUUGAUUCGAACUCCGUUCAUUGUGAGAUGGAACUUGCAGGUUUUCACUAGAAUGUCGGUGACAUCCUUAUCGUCCUUGUACUUUCCGAGACUCCCCACGCUGAUACCAUGUCCUGGUCCGCACUUGACACCGGUCACUGUGAUGCGGCUGUUGGUAGGACCAAUAGAGACGCAAUCAUCUCCGGUUUUGAUUGCGGUAUCGGUGAUGGUGACUCCGUCUGAAAGUCCGAUGUGGACUCCGUCGGUGUUCGGACUUGUUUCCGGUGCAGUGAUGGUCAGCUUUGUGAGCUUCAGAUUUACGCACUUGUAGACCAUUAUGUGAAACAUUCUGCUGUCAAUCGACGAGAUGCCUUCAACGGUGGAAUCAUUGAUGAAGCUGAAUUGAAUGUUCGUCGGAAAUACUUUUCCGUUACGCUUGUUUUUUGGCCAUGUAUCCGCACCCAUACCGUUGAAUGAACCAUUUCCGGUGAUCAACAUGCCGGCCAAUCUCUCAAACAUAAUCCAAUUGUUGGGCUUCUCCGGCAUUGUUUUCAAGACGGCUGGAGCAAUGAUUCUUCCAUCUAUCUGGAUCACCAUUUUCGCCGUGCAUGGUCCGGAGAAGGCCACUGGUCCGACCAAGUAUGCUCCUUUCGGAACCACGAACUUCGCUGUCGGUCCAGUGUAGUUACAUGCCGCCGUCCAUGUAUCUGCAAAUGCCGCGGUGCUGUCAACUUUGCCGUUGGAUACCGCCUUGAAGUCGGAGACGCUGAAGGUUCCGUUGACGGCGACGACGGCGACGGUGGUGGAGAUGAAAAAGAAUAAAAUUGAAGAGGAGAUGAAGAGGAUUGAAGCUACGAAAUUCAUUUUUUAUUUUGGUGGUUUGAAUUUAUUUUUAUUGGGUGAUUGUUGUUUGUGUUGUGUUGUUGUUUGUGUUAUUGUGGGAUUGGUUUGAUUUAUAAUGUUUUUUUCCAUUUAUUCAUACUGUUUUUUCGAUGAGUCAAGUUAUUCUCGUUCAUAGAUUUUGAAUUUUUGUUUCACGCUAUUUAUAAAAUUAACUAAUUUUCCAACUGUUUUACAUACUAUUUCAUUUUCAACCGAACAAAUUAAACCUCAAUGCUAUUAACAUCUUCCUAUUAUUUAGGGUUUCAACUAUAUUAGAUUUAUAACUGUUUACAACUAUUAAAAUAUAUACAUUAGGUCUAAGAAUUAGCACAACACGACCAUUAAUUUUUUACACGAAAAAAAAUUGUUACGAUUACAUAUACAAACACACAAUUAUUUUAUUGAUAAUAAUUAUUUUAUUAUUUUAAUAAUAAUAAUUAUCUAUGGUAUAUUUUCUUAUUUUAUCCUUAUUAUAUAGUUAUUAUUUUACCCUUAUUAUUUUAUAAGUGUAAUAUUUUAUUUAGAACUUAAGAGGUUGUAUAUAAAAAUAUUAUUAUAUAAACGAUAAAUAGAGGUGAGAUUCCCUCUCCUCAAGGCUGUCAACGGGUCUGGGUUUGGGACCAAUUUCGGACCCGUCAAAGGAUUUAGACCCGACUGGACCCGGACCUGGCUAUUUUAAAUGUUAGAAAGAAAAAAAUAUUAAUAUUUUAAUAAAUUAAAGAUUUAAAUAUAAAUAUUCUAACUUAAGAGUUUAAUAUAAAUACACCAAUAUUUGUUUAUUAUGUUUAUUUAUUUUACUACAAUUUAUUGACUAUUUUUAUAUUUUUAAUUAUUUAUUAUUUUUAGGUUUAAAAAAUUUAUUUAUUUGGACCCGGCCCAGGCCUAGAUUUUUUAUGGGUCUGGGCCGGGCCCAGACAAUUGAGUACUGGACCCGGACCCGGCCCAGAUCCGGGCCAAGUUCAUGGGUAUGGGGUCAGUUUAACCGUCCCAGACCCAGUCCAUUUACAACAUUUCCCGUACCCGGUGACUGGCCCGUACCCGGACGGAGGGGAUGAUUUUCCUAUCAAAGAAGAAAAUUCCCUGUCCCUGUCCCCUGUCGAAAUCCCCAGUUAUUUCCGGGUACGGGGAUGGGGAUUGAAAUCCCCGCCUCGGCCCAUCCCCGUACCCAGAGAAAAUUGAAUAUAGUGAUAUAGACCUUAUAAAAAAAUUAUAUUGUAUAAUUUAUAUAAAUAACCUUAUACAAUAUAUUAAAUAGAUAAAUUUAUAUUUAAAAUUGUAAAAUUAAAUCUAUAUCAUAAAUUCCUAAUUAAAAACAUAAAUUUUUUAAAGUUAAACCUAAUUCUUAUUUUUGUAACCUUGUUCAGAUGUUCCACCGUCGAGCGUCGAUAUCUUCUUCCGUCGCUGUCCUAAGAUAAGCUUCGCAUGUCUAAAUUUUUUUAAAUGAAAUAGGGUUGAGAGAACUUCCACCGGUGUACGCUUGUUCCACCGCUUGUUUAAAUAAUUUCCACCGUUUAUGGAUUUUCUAAAUUAUUGUUCCACUUCUAAAUUACAUUAGUAAAUAGUAACAUAGCAAGUAAGUUAGUAACAUUAGUAUUUUUAAUAAAUUACUGUUUAAAAUAAUAAUAAAAAUAAUAAUAAUAUUUUGACCGCGGAUCCCGUCCCCACUCAAUUAUAUUAUGUUUUCGUAAUAUCGGGUCAUAUAAUUUGUCUGUCAAUUUACGUUUCGUGUAAUCGUAUCGUGUCGUGUUUUUAGAAAUAAACACUAAACCGAUACUAUUAUCAAUCGUGUCAAAAUUUCGACAUUAACUCGACAUUAUUAUGAACGUGUCUUGUUAAAAUCGUAUUGUGUGUAUUUUAUACAUUACAUUUCAUUUUAUUACUCUAUUAGUUUAUUUAGUCCGACCCACAUUUUCAAAGGCCCAUUAGUUAGAUCACUAGUAUAAAUUAUUUUGACCCACGUUUUCAAAGGCCCAUUAGUAAGAUCACUAAUAUAAAUUAUUUUGACCCACAUUUUCAAAGGCCCAUUAGUUAGAUCACUGGUAUAAAUUAUUUUUUGUAACAAUUUAGUUUAACUUUUUUUAUUUUAAUCUAAAUCUAAAAACUUGGGUUCUUCCCCUAACCAUUGGUCUUCUCCUCUCCGAUGGAGUGCUCCGUCAUAGCCUUCCAUACACACUGUUCCUCGGGUGUCAAGCUUUAUACUUUAUAGAUGUACAACUAAUUGCAUUUUCAAUAUUAAUUUAUAACUAGUUGUAUGUUCAGUAUUAAAUAAUAUAUAACUAGUUGAACACACAUUUAGCUAGUCGGUCGGAGUUUUUCUCCUCAACUCAUAUCCUGAAAUUAAAUGUCUCUUAUAAAGAUACGUAGAAUCAACAUGAGAUAUAUAGAUUAGAAAUUAAAAUAUAAAAUAUAAAUAAUGUAAGUGGUGAUUCAGUAUCUCAAAUUUGGUCAUAACGUAUCAGCAAAUAGAGAUUCGGAUAUCCUAAGAUGAAUUGAGGUACUCAUAUAGGUUUGAAAAGGUUCCAAAUCAACUCAUGAGAAUGUCGACUUUUACAAAGUCGACUUCACCCAGGUCGACUUUCUCAUAAGUCGAACUGGAUAAAGUCGACCUCUGAGAAAGUUGAUCCCAAAAAGUCGAAUUGAAACCAGAUCUGAGCGGUUACGAUCCAAAUGACCAGAUUGCCCCCAUAAAAAGUCUUAUAAAUAGGGGGCAUCCCUCAUUCAUUUGGGUAUGUCAUUCGGAGUGAGUGAAGUUCCAGCGAAUCAGAGCCAAAACAACUUAGGAGUUCAGUCGAAUUUUCCCGCGGAGUUCCCCGUCUGACGUUUGUUCGAAACGUCGUCAAACACUGAUCGGAUUACACCCUCAUCAGUAAGCUUUAAGAUUAAGGGGCAAAUGCCCAUCUAUGAUCAAAGUUCACUAUUCUUAUUUUUGUUCAAUUGUUUUAGGGGAUUUUAUUUAUUUUUCCUUGUAAUUCUUAUUUUAUCGUUAGUUUACAGUGUAUUUAUUUUAGUUUAUUGUGUAAGAGAAAAUUUCAGAAGAGUCGCAACUUUUUUUUAAAAUGUUCGCCCAAUCGAUCUCAGCCGUUCAUUUUGAAAUCGACGAUAAGAUGAAUUUUUUUUAUAAAUUAUGAUGACCCGUACGUAAUGAUUUUAAGCAUUUCACUCAUUACCAAUUUUCAAUUAUUUUUUCAUAUUUUCGAAAUUAAAAUCGAUCAAAAAUAUUAAAAUGAAAAGUUUUUGGAAAUUAAAUUAAUUAUGAUAUAUUGAUAUCUGGAUCGAUAGAUUUUAAUUAAUUUGUUGUAAUAUUUUUAUUUGUGUUUAUUUAUUUAAUAUUAAUUUGUGCUUUUUUGACCUAAAAAAUAUCUAAUUUUUGCUUACAAAAAAGACCUAAUUUCAAUUUUGUUUUUUAAUUUUUUGCACAUCGAUGGAUUUUUUGUUACUUGAACCUUUGAAUCUUCAAAAACAUUAAUAGUUAAUCUGAUCAGUUAAACUAAUCUUCUUUUAUGACCAGUUGAGUUUUUUUUUUUUAAAUUUGAAACCAGUUGAUAAUUUAUUAAUUUCAAAACGUGAAAAAAUCGUAGACAUGGCUGUUGGCCAUUAGCUUUUUUUGUACAUUAUGGUACUUGAAAAUUGUAUUAGGGUUUGAAAUUUAAUUAUAAAGGGUUGAUCAGGCGGUGGAGCAAUUUAGUGCAGGCUUGACGACACCGAUGAUAGUAGGCUUGACGACGUUCUCACAAGUUGAAUUGGACACUGCUCCUCCGACCUUGUUUUUAAGUUGAAUUUUUUCGAACGAGAGACCUGUGCAUGGAUUUGACUUACUACACAAGAGUGUAAUGGCAACCGGUGUCGCCGACGUUCCUCUGAUGUUGCUGAACUUGACGUCCGAUAUCUUGACGUUUGAAGACACGGAUUUUGGGCAAUUUCCGGCAGGGCAGUACUGUUGAUUAAUGAUGAUAGGAUUCUCAAC
Molecule: long non-coding RNA, 4928 nt
Filed under: Zostera marina
Lineage: Eukaryota; Viridiplantae; Streptophyta; Magnoliopsida; Alismatales; Zosteraceae
Description: long non-coding RNA (ZMAR_LNC002904)
Source: RNAcentral